RNAcentral lists this ribosomal RNA (459 nucleotides) under uncultured bacterium. RNAcentral describes it as "partial 16S ribosomal RNA". It matches the Rfam family "Bacterial small subunit ribosomal RNA", at positions 338 to 795 of the family's 1533-position model. The record is from RNAcentral.
CCUACGGGUGGCAGCAGUGAGGAAUAUUGGUCAAUGGGCGCGAGCCUGAACCAGCCAAGUCGCGUGAGGGAAGACGGUCCUAUGGAUUGUAAACCUCUUUUGUCGGGGAGCAAAAGACGCCACGCGUGGCGUUCCGAGAGUACCCGAAGAAAAAGCAUCGGCUAACUCCGUGCCAGCAGCCGCGGUAAUACGGAGAAUGCGAGCGUUAUCCGGAUUUAUUGGGUUUAAAGGGUGCGCAGGCGGAAGAUCAAGUCAGCGGUAAAAUUGAGAGGCUCAACCUCUUCGAGCCGUUGAAACUGGGUGGCGUGAGUGAGCGAGAAUGAUGCGGUAUGCGUGGUGUAGCGGUGAAAUGUAUAGAUAGCACGCAGAACUGCGAUUGCGUAGGCAGCAUACCGGCGCUCAACUGACGCUCAUGCACGAAAGUGUGGGUAUCGAACAGGAUUAGAUACCCUAGUAGUC